RNAcentral lists this ribosomal RNA (515 nucleotides) under uncultured bacterium. Its description in RNAcentral is "partial 16S ribosomal RNA". It matches the Rfam family "Bacterial small subunit ribosomal RNA", at positions 28 to 523 of the family's 1533-position model. The record is from RNAcentral.
GAUGAUCGCUGGCGGCGUGCCUAAUACAUGCAAGUCGAGCGAAUGGAUUAAGAGCUUGCUCUUAUGAAGUUAGCGGCGGACGGGUGAGUAACACGUGGGUAACCUGCCCAUAAGACUGGGAUAACUCCGGGAAACCGGGGCUAAUACCGGAUAACAUUUUGAACCGCAUGGUUCGAAAUUGAAAGGCGGCUUCGGCUGUCACUUAUGGAUGGACCCGCGUCGCAUUAGCUAGUUGGUGAGGUAACGGCUCACCAAGGCAACGAUGCGUAGCCGACCUGAGAGGGUGAUCGGCCACACUGGGACUGAGACACGGCCCAGACUCCUACGGGAGGCAGCAGUAGGGAAUCUUCCGCAAUGGACGAAAGUCUGAUGGAGCAACGCCGCGUGAGUGAUGAAGGCUUUCGGGUCGUAAAACUCUGUUGUUAGGGAAGAACAAGUGCUAGUUGAAUAAGCUGGCACCUUGACGGUACCUAACCAGAAAGCCACGGCUAACUACGUGCCAGCCGUCGCGGUAA